This 1329-nucleotide ribosomal RNA is filed under the name Curtobacterium flaccumfaciens. Its description in RNAcentral is "bacterial SSU rRNA". It matches the Rfam family "Bacterial small subunit ribosomal RNA", at positions 94 to 1432 of the family's 1533-position model. Lineage: Bacteria; Bacillati; Actinomycetota; Actinomycetes; Micrococcales; Microbacteriaceae. The record is from RNAcentral.
AGUGGCGAACGGGUGAGUAACACGUGAGUAACCUGCCCCUGACUCUGGGAUAAGCGUUGGAAACGACGUCUAAUACUGGAUAGGACUACUGGCCGCAUGGUCUGGUGGUGGAAAGAUUUUUUGGUUGGGGAUGGACUCGCGGCCUAUCAGCUUGUUGGUGAGGUAAUGGCUCACCAAGGCGACGACGGGUAGCCGGCCUGAGAGGGUGACCGGCCACACUGGGACUGAGACACGGCCCAGACUCCUACGGGAGGCAGCAGUGGGGAAUAUUGCACAAUGGGCGAAAGCCUGAUGCAGCAACGCCGCGUGAGGGAUGACGGCCUUCGGGUUGUAAACCUCUUUUAGUAGGGAAGAAGCGAAAGUGACGGUACCUGCAGAAAAAGCACCGGCUAACUACGUGCCAGCAGCCGCGGUAAUACGUAGGGUGCAAGCGUUGUCCGGAAUUAUUGGGCGUAAAGAGCUCGUAGGCGGUUUGUCGCGUCUGCUGUGAAAUCCCGAGGCUCAACCUCGGGCUUGCAGUGGGUACGGGCAGACUAGAGUGCGGUAGGGGAGAUUGGAAUUCCUGGGUGUAGCGGUGGAAUGCGCAGAUAUCAGGAGGAACACCCGAUGGCGGAAGGCAGAUCUCUGGGCCGUAACUGACGCUGAGGAGCGAAAGCAUGGGGAGCGAACAGGAUUAGAUACCCUGGUAGUCCAUGCCGUAAACGUUGGGCGCUAGAUGUAGGGACCUUUCCACGGUUUCUGUGUCGUAGCUAACGCAUUAAGCGCCCCGCCUGGGGAGUACGGCCGCAAGGCUAAAACUCAAAGGAAUUGACGGGGGCCCGCACAAGCGGCGGAGCAUGCGGAUUAAUUCGAUGCAACGCGAAGAACCUUACCAAGGCUUGACAUACACCGGAAACGGCCAGAGAUGGUCGCCCCCUUGUGGUCGGUGUACAGGUGGUGCAUGGUUGUCGUCAGCUCGUGUCGUGAGAUGUUGGGUUAAGUCCCGCAACGAGCGCAACCCUCGUUCUAUGUUGCCAGCGCGUUAUGGCGGGGACUCAUAGGAGACUGCCGGGGUCAACUCGGAGGAAGGUGGGGAUGACGUCAAAUCAUCAUGCCCCUUAUGUCUUGGGCUUCACGCAUGCUACAAUGGCCGGUACAAAGGGCUGCGAUACCGUAAGGUGGAGCGAAUCCCAAAAAGCCGGUCUCAGUUCGGAUUGAGGUCUGCAACUCGACCUCAUGAAGUCGGAGUCGCUAGUAAUCGCAGAUCAGCAACGCUGCGGUGAAUACGUUCCCGGGCCUUGUACACACCGCCCGUCAAGUCAUGAAAGUCGGUAACACCCGAAGCCGGUG